CAGUCGCCGCGGGAAUACAGAGGGUGCGAGCGUUAAUCGGAUUUACUGGGCGUAAAGCGUGCGUAGGCGGCUUCUUAAGUCGGAUGUGAAAUCCCUGAGCUUAACUUAGGAAUUGCAUUCGAUACUGGGAAGCUAGAGUAUGGGAGAGGAUGGUAGAAUUCCAGGCGUAGCGGUGAAAUGCGUAGAGAUCUGGAGGAAUACCGAUGGCGAAGGCAGCCAUCUGGCCUAAUACUGACGCUGAGGUACGAAAGCAUGGGGAGCAAACAGGAUUAGAUACCCCCGUAGUCCCUGUCUCUUAUAC
This 301-nucleotide ribosomal RNA is filed under the name uncultured bacterium. Its description in RNAcentral is "partial 16S ribosomal RNA". It matches the Rfam family "Bacterial small subunit ribosomal RNA", at positions 509 to 807 of the family's 1533-position model. The record is from RNAcentral.